RNAcentral lists this ribosomal RNA (559 nucleotides) under Pseudoechria decidua. Its description in RNAcentral is "Podospora decidua partial 28S ribosomal RNA". It matches the Rfam family "Eukaryotic large subunit ribosomal RNA", at positions 38 to 625 of the family's 3401-position model. Lineage: Eukaryota; Fungi; Ascomycota; Sordariomycetes; Sordariales; Schizotheciaceae. The record is from RNAcentral.
GCAUAUCAAUAAGCGGAGGAAAAGAAACCAACAGGGAUUGCCCUAGUAACGGCGAGUGAAGCGGCAACAGCUCAAAUUUGAAAUCUGGCAACAGCCCGAGUUGUAAUUUGCAGAGGAAGCUUCUGGCGACGCACUGUCUAAGUCCCCUGGAACGGGGCGCCACAGCGGGUGAGAGCCCCAUGUGAUGGCUGCGGACCCAGUGUGAAGCUCCUUCGACGAGUCGAGUAGUUUGGGAAUGCUGCUCAAAAUGGGAGGUAAAUUCCUUCUAAAGCUAAAUAUUGGCCAGAGACCGAUAGCGCACAAGUAGAGUGAUCGAAAGAUGAAAAGCACUUUGAAAAGAGGGUUAAACAGCACGUGAAAUUGUUGAAAGGGAAGCGCUCAUGACCAGACUUGCGCUGGGCUGAUCAUCCGGUGUUCUCACCGGUGCACUCUGCCCGGCUCAGGCCAGCAUCGGUUUUGGCGGGGGGAUAAAGACGCCGGGAACGUAGCUCCCCCGGGAGUGUUAUAGCCCGGCGUGCAAUACCCCCGCUGGGACCGAGGUCCGCGCAUCGCAAGGAUG